GAACGCUAGCGACAGGCUUAACACAUGCAAGUCGAGGGGCAGCACAGGUAGCAAUACCGGGUGGCGACCGGCGCACGGGUGAGUAACGCGUAUGCAACUUGCCUAUCAGAGGGGGAUAACCCGGCGAAAGUCGGACUAAUACCGCAUGAAGCAGGGGCCCCGCAUGGGGAUAUUUGCUAAAGAUUCAUCGCUGAUAGAUAGGCGUGCGUUCCAUUAGGCAGUUGGCGGGGUAACGGCCCACCAAACCGACGAUGGAUAGGGGUUCUGAGAGGAAGGUCCCCCACAUUGGUACUGAGACACGGACCAAACUCCUACGGGAGGCAGCAGUGAGGAAUAUUGGUCAAUGGCCGAGAGGCUGAACCAGCCAAGUCGCGUGAGGGAUGAAGGUUCUAUGGAUCGUAAACCUCUUUUAUAAGGGAAUAAAGUGCGGGACGUGUCCCGUUUUGUAUGUACCUUAUGAAUAAGGAUCGGCUAACUCCGUGCCAGCAGCCGCGGUAAUACGGAGGAUCCGAGCGUUAUUCGGAUUUAUUGGGUUUAAAGGGUGCGUAGGCGGCCUUUUAAGUCAGCGGUGAAAGUCUGUGGCUCAACCAUAGAAUUGCCGUUGAAACUGGGGGGCUUGAGUAUGUUUGAGGCAGGCGGAAUGCGUGGUGUAGCGGUGAAAUGCAUAGAUAUCACGCAGAACCCCGAUUGCGAAGGCAGCCUGCCAAGCCAUUACUGACGCUGAUGCACGAAAGCGUGGGGAUCAAACAGGAUUAGAUACCCUGGUAGUCCACGCAGUAAACGAUGAUCACUAGCUGUUUGCGAUACACUGUAAGCGGCACAGCGAAAGCGUUAAGUGAUCCACCUGGGGAGUACGCCGGCAACGGUGAAACUCAAAGGAAUUGACGGGGGCCCGCACAAGCGGAGGAACAUGUGGUUUAAUUCGAUGAUACGCGAGGAACCUUACCCGGGUUUGAACGCAUUCGGACCGAGGUGGAAACACCUUUUCUAGCAAUAGCCGUUUGCGAGGUGCUGCAUGGUUGUCGUCAGCUCGUGCCGUGAGGUGUCGGCUUAAGUGCCAUAACGAGCGCAACCCUUGCCACUAGUUACUAACAGGUAAAGCUGAGGACUCUGGUGGGACUGCCAGCGUAAGCUGCGAGGAAGGCGGGGAUGACGUCAAAUCAGCACGGCCCUUACAUCCGGGGCGACACACGUGUUACAAUGGCGUGGACAAAGGGAAGCCACCUGGCGACAGGGAGCGAAUCCCCAAACCACGUCUCAGUUCGGAUCGGAGUCUGCAACCCGACUCCGUGAAGCUGGAUUCGCUAGUAAUCGCGCAUCAGCCAUGGCGCGGUGAAUACGUUCCCGGGCCUUGUACACACCGCCCGUCAAGCCAUGGGAGCCGGGGGUACCUGAAGUCCGUAACCGCGAGGAUCGGCCUAGGGUAAAACUGGUGACUGGGGCUAA
RNAcentral lists this ribosomal RNA (1446 nucleotides) under uncultured organism. RNAcentral describes it as "SSU rRNA". It matches the Rfam family "Bacterial small subunit ribosomal RNA". The record is from RNAcentral.